Molecule: ribosomal RNA, 845 nt
Filed under: Podospora fimiseda
Lineage: Eukaryota; Fungi; Ascomycota; Sordariomycetes; Sordariales; Podosporaceae
Description: eukaryotic LSU rRNA
Rfam family: Eukaryotic large subunit ribosomal RNA
Source: RNAcentral
CCAACAGGGAUUGCCCCAGUAACGGCGAAGUGAAGCGGCAACAGCUCAAAUUUGAAAUCUGGCUUCGGCCCGAGUUGUAAUUUGUAGAGGAAGCUUUUGGCGAGGCACCGACUGAGUCCCCUGGAACGGGGCGCCAUAGAGGGUGAGAGCCCCGUAUAGUCGGACGCCGAGCCUCUGUAAAGCUCCUUCGACGAGUCGAGUAGUUUGGGAAUGCUGCUCAAAAUGGGAGGUAAAUUUCUUCUAAAGCUAAAUAUUGGCCAGAGACCGAUAGCGCACAAGUAGAGUGAUCGAAAGAUGAAAAGCACUUUGAAAAGAGGGUUAAAUAGCACGUGAAAUUGUUGAAAGGGAAGCGCUUGUGACCAGACUUGCGCCUGGCCGAUCAUCCGGGGUUCUCCCCGGUGCACUCGGCCAGGCUCAGGCCAGCAUCGGUUCUCUUGGGGGGACAAAGGUCCCGGGAAUGUAGCUCCCUUCCGGGGGAGUGUUAUAGCCCGGGGCGUAAUGCCCUCGAGGGGACCGAGGACCGCGCUUCGGCAAGGAUGCUGGCGUUACGGUCAUCAGCGACCCGUCUUGAAACACGGACCAAGGAGUCAAGGUUUUGCGCGAGUGUUUGGGUGUAAAACCCGCACGCGUAAUGAAAGUAAACGUAGGUGAGAGCUUCGGCGCAUCAUCGACCGGCCCAGAUGUUCUCGGAAGGGCCUGAGUAGGAGCGUUAAGCCUUGGACCCGAAAGAUGGUGAACUAUGCUUGGAUAGGGUGAAGCCAGAGGAAACUCUGGUGGAGGCUCGCAGCGGUUCUGACGUGCAAAUCGAUCGUCAAAUCUGAGCAUGGGGGCGAAAGACUAAUCGA